This 390-nucleotide ribosomal RNA is filed under the name uncultured bacterium. RNAcentral describes it as "partial 16S ribosomal RNA". It matches the Rfam family "Bacterial small subunit ribosomal RNA", at positions 523 to 915 of the family's 1533-position model. The record is from RNAcentral.
AUACGGAGGAUGCAAGCGUUAUCCGGAUUUAUUGGGUUUAAAGGGUGCGUAGGCGGUUUGCUAAGCGGGAGGUGAAAUGCCGGCGCUCAACGUCGGAAGUGCCUCCCGAACUGGUGGACUUGAAUGACUCUGCCGUGGGAGGAAUGUGUAGUGUAGCGGUGAAAUGCUUAGAGAUUACACAGAACACCGAUUGCGAAGGCAUCUCACGAAGGGUUGAUUGACGCUGAGGCACGAAAGCGUGGGGAUCAAACAGGAUUAGAUACCCUGGUAGUCCACGCAGUAAACGAUGAUGGCUAACCGCUGGGCUUAUCAGUUCAGUGGCCAAGCGAAAGCGAUAAGCCAUCCACCUGGGGAGUACGACCGCAAGGUUGAAACUCAAAUGAAUUGACG